RNAcentral lists this ribosomal RNA (382 nucleotides) under uncultured bacterium. RNAcentral's name for it is "bacterial SSU rRNA". It matches the Rfam family "Bacterial small subunit ribosomal RNA", at positions 28 to 400 of the family's 1533-position model. The record is from RNAcentral.
AGCGAACGCUGGCGGCGUGCUUAACACAUGCAAGUCGAGUGCGUAGCCCUUUGUAGCAAUACAGAGGGUGGGCGCACGGCGCACGGGUGAGUAACACGUGGGUAACCUGCCCUUCGGUGGGGAAUAACCCCGCGAAAGCGGGGCUAAUUCCGCAUAACAUUCCGGGGACACAUGUUCUCGGACUCAAAGGAGUGAUUCGCCGGAGGAGGGGCCCGCGCCCGAUUAGCUUGUUGGUAGGGUAACGGCCUACCAAGGCUUUGAUCGGUAGCCGGUCUGAGAGGAUGGCCGGCCACACUGGAACUGAGACACGGUCCAGACUCCUACGGGAGGCAGCAGUGGGGAAUCUUGCGCAAUGGGCGAAAGCCUGACGCAGCGACGCCGC